Molecule: ribosomal RNA, 493 nt
Filed under: uncultured bacterium
Lineage: Bacteria
Description: bacterial SSU rRNA
Rfam family: Bacterial small subunit ribosomal RNA
Source: RNAcentral
AGAGUUGAUCCUGGCUAGGACGAACGCUGGCGGCACGCCUAACACAUGCAAGUCGAACGGAGAUUUGAGAGCUUGCUCUUAAAUCUUAGUGGCGGACGGGUGAGUAACACGUGAGCAACCUGCCUCUGAGAGAGGGAUAGCUUCUGGAAACGGAUGGUAAUACCUCAUAACAUUACAUGACCGCAUGAUCGUGUAAUCAAAGAUUUAUCACUCAGAGAUGGGCUCGCGUCUGAUUAGCUAGUUGGUGAGGUAACGGCCCACCAAGGCGACGAUCAGUAGCCGGACUGAGAGGUUGAACGGCCACAUUGGGACUGAGACACGGCCCAGACUCCUACGGGAGGCAGCAGUGAGGGAUAUUGCACAAUGGAGGAAACUCUGAUGCAGCGAUGCCGCGUGGAGGAAGAAGGUUUUCGGAUUGUAAACUCCUGUUUCGAGGGACGAUAAUGACGGUACCUCGGGAGGAAGCUCCGGCUAACUACGUGCCAGCAGCGGC